Long non-coding RNA from Oxyura jamaicensis (ruddy duck), 1717 nucleotides. RefSeq lists it as uncharacterized. The record is from RefSeq and is a predicted model, not a curated record. Lineage: Eukaryota; Metazoa; Chordata; Aves; Anseriformes; Anatidae. The transcript is spliced from 3 exons.
GAGUGCUUGACACUAACUUUUUGACCAGUUUGCCUCUCCAUUGUUUUGGGCAAGUCUAACAAGAUAUAAUUCAAUUACUAGAUAUUUCUCAGGUGUCUAGCUGUGGAUUACUUAUUUUCCUUCUUGAAAAGAUUGUUGAUGGAACAGCUGAACACCUGUGGAAUUUUUAUGUUUUCCAAAGAUCAGCUCAUACAAGCCAGUUAAGAAGUAUGGAUCAGCUCUCCCUGUGUACCUAUGAAGAAUAAUGCAAUAAUGCUAUACCUUGCUGCACAGUUGUCUAGCUGUAUUGAGCUAAAUAUUCAUUCCAAUAAACAUUUCACUUUCAUAGUCAUGUUAUGUUACCAAAAGGACCAGACAAAAACAUGGAGGGGAAGAAUAACUUGAAAUCAAGGGGAAAUAUUUUUAUUUAAGUAAAGAUAAAGGAAUAAAUACUUUGAAUUUAUAGCCUGAUGAUUGUCUAGCAUCUUUACAUGAAAUAACACUGCAGUAUUUGUUCACUCUUAAGAAUAUUGUAUUUAAUUUCCAUAAAAAUCUCAUUAAACUCAAGAUUGUGUUGAUAGUAGAACUCAGUAACUUAAAGGAGGAAGGGAGUGUUAUAGGGAGAUAACAACUGUCUUAAAAACAAUUCCUAAAUCUGAGUGUUAAGUAGUUAGAGUGACAUGUCUUAGAGAAGGGCAUGCCAGAGGUGGUGUACAACCACAGGGGACCCUCCGAUUAGACUUGAAUUUAAAGCUAUCCUGUGGAGCUUUUAAUAGGAAUACUCUCACAUUGCCCUCUAUUUGUAGUGACAUGGUUUGGAGCCCAAACCCAAUUAUUUUCUUUCUUAUUCUGUUACUUCAUCAUUUAUUUUCUCCCCAGGGUGAUAUGCCUCAUAUUCCUUAAUGAAGUCAGCAGGAGCUCUGGGGGCAGUUCUUCAGAUGAUGUAAAUUCACCCCAGCAUCUCAGUACCCCUCACUGAAGAGCAGGCUCACUUCUGUCUGACCUCACACUUACUGCAGUCAGAGUAUCUGAAGUGACCUGAUCUAGUUUAAUUUUUUGUUGGUGUGUUUUGCAAGAUAUUGAAAUAUUGUAACUUAAAAUAGUGGUUUCUAGAAGGCGCUACCUCUAGUAAAGAUCAUGUUUGUGCCCAGAAAGAUAUUCAUACAGAAUCAGAUGAACAUUUUAUACUAUUAGUUGCUAAAGAUUGGCAUUUUGACUCCUGAGGAAAAAAUAAAUGCACCAACAGGCUAAGUCAUGAUCUCCCUCAAGCAUUUUUGAACUGCAAAGUUAGCAUUUGGGUAUUGUUAUUAACAUAAUAAACAGAAUUACAUUGCUUUCUAAAAUUAGAUUCUUCCAAAGCAUACUCCUUCCCCAAGGUAGGUUACUGCAGUCUUUAGCUUAGUGAUUCUUUUCUGUCUCAAGGCAGAAUAAGUGAAAUUAGACGGUAUGACUAAUUAAUGCAGAACUUAAACACAGAGUAAUAAAUUAGACAUGAUUUCUUGCUGCUUUCGACUUUUUCUUGUAUUUGUUGGCCAGUUUUAUCCUUUGACAUCCACUAGCAUUGUGAGCUUGUGUGUCAGGAGAGUUUCAGAGUAAGAGUGAUACCCUACAGUAUUUAUUGCCUAUUUCUUUUAUCUUUUUGUUGUCCUUUCAGGGUAUAGAUUAGACUCAAGGACACUUUUAGCACUGUCUAGCACAAUAGCCUACCCCUUACUUUUUAUGUUAAUGAAAACCUGCC